CAGCAGCCGCGGUAAUACGUAGGGGGCGAGCGUUGUCCGGAAUUAUUGGGCGUAAAGCGCGCGCAGGCGGUCCUUUAAGUCUGAUGUGAAAGCCCACGGCUCAACCGUGGAGGGUCAUUGGAAACUGGGGGACUUGAGUGCAGGAGAGGAGAGCGGAAUUCCACGUGUAGCGGUGAAAUGCGUAGAGAUGUGGAGGAACACCAGUGGCGAAGGCGGCUCUCUGGCCUGUAACUGACGCUGAGGCGCGAAAGCGUGGGGAGCAAACAGGAUUAGAUACCCUGGUAGUCCACGCCGUAAACGAUGAGUGCUAAGUGUUAGAGGGGUCACACCCUUUAGUGCUGCAGCUAACGCGAUAAGCACUCCGCCUGGGGAGUACGGCCGCAAGGUUGAAACUUAAAGGAAUUGGCGGG
RNAcentral lists this ribosomal RNA (410 nucleotides) under uncultured microorganism. RNAcentral describes it as "bacterial SSU rRNA". It matches the Rfam family "Bacterial small subunit ribosomal RNA", at positions 509 to 917 of the family's 1533-position model. The record is from RNAcentral.